RNAcentral lists this ribosomal RNA (252 nucleotides) under uncultured bacterium. RNAcentral's name for it is "partial 16S ribosomal RNA". It matches the Rfam family "Bacterial small subunit ribosomal RNA", at positions 524 to 776 of the family's 1533-position model. The record is from RNAcentral.
UACGUAGGGGGCAAGCGUUGUCCGGAUUUAUUGGGCGUAACGGGUUCGCAGGUGGUCCUUUAAGUCAGAUGUGAAAGAUCACAGCUCAACUGUGGUAAGCAUUUGAAACUGAAGGACUUGAGUUAAGGAGAGGAAAGUGGAAUUCCUAGUGGAGCGGUGAAAUGCGUAGAUAGGAGGAGGAAGACCAGUGGCGAAGGCGACUUUCUGGACUUAUACUGACACUGAGGAACGAAAGCGUGGGGAGCAAACAGG